UACGUAGGGUGCGAGCGUUAAUCGGAAUUACUGGGCGUAAAGCGUGCGCAGGCGGUUAUGUAAGACAGAUGUGAAAUCCCCGGGCUGAACCUGGGAACUGCAUUUGUGACUGCAUAGCUAGAGUACGGUAGAGGGGGAUGGAAUUCCGCGUGUAGCAGUGAAAUGCGUAGAUAUGCGGAGGAACACCGAUGGCGAAGGCAAUCCCCUGGACCUGUACUGACGCUCAUGCACGAAAGCGUGGGGAGCAAACAGG
RNAcentral lists this ribosomal RNA (253 nucleotides) under uncultured bacterium. Its description in RNAcentral is "partial 16S ribosomal RNA". It matches the Rfam family "Bacterial small subunit ribosomal RNA", at positions 524 to 776 of the family's 1533-position model. The record is from RNAcentral.